AUUGAACGCUGGCGGCAUGCUUUACACAUGCAAGUCGAACGGUAACAGGCCGCAAGGUGCUGACGAGUGGCGAACGGGUGAGUAAUGCAUCGGAACGUGCCCAGUCGUGGGGGAUAACUACUCGAAAGAGUAGCUAAUACCGCAUACGAUCUAUGGAUGACAGCGGGGGACCGUAAGGCCUCGCGCGAUUGGAGCGGCCGAUGUCAGAUUAGGUAGUUGGUGGGGUAAAGGCUCACCAAGCCAACGAUCGGUAGCUGGUCUGAGAGGACGACCAGCCACACUGGGACUGAGACACGGCCCAGACUCCUACGGGAGGCAGCAGUGGGGAAUUUUGGACAAUGGGCGCAAGCCUGAUCCAGCAAUGCCGCGUGCAGGAAGAAGGCCUUCGGGUUGUAAGCUGCUUUUGUACGGAACGAAACGGCUCUGGUUAAUACCCGGGGCUAAUGACGGUACCGUAAGAAUAAGCACCGGCUAACUACGUG
This 482-nucleotide ribosomal RNA is filed under the name uncultured bacterium. Its description in RNAcentral is "partial 16S ribosomal RNA". It matches the Rfam family "Bacterial small subunit ribosomal RNA", at positions 30 to 507 of the family's 1533-position model. The record is from RNAcentral.